GCGGGUGUAGUAUAGUGGCAAUACAUGAGCUUCCCAAGCUUAGGCGGAGGGUUCGAUUCCCUCCACCCGCACCA
This 74-nucleotide transfer RNA is filed under the name Puniceicoccales bacterium. RNAcentral describes it as "tRNA-Gly". It matches the Rfam family "tRNA". Rfam says of the family: Transfer RNA (tRNA) molecules are approximately 80 nucleotides in length. Their secondary structure includes four short double-helical elements and three loops (D, anti-codon, and T loops). Lineage: Bacteria; Pseudomonadati; Verrucomicrobiota; Opitutia; Puniceicoccales. The record is from RNAcentral.